This is a small nucleolar RNA of Solanum dulcamara, 106 nucleotides long. The record is from RefSeq and is a predicted model, not a curated record. NCBI's taxonomy places the organism in Eukaryota, Viridiplantae, Streptophyta, Magnoliopsida, Solanales, Solanaceae.
AAUGAUGGUGGGGGUAACUAAUGAGCAGAGAUUUAAACCCAUCCCAAACUUGAUAUAAACUCUCUCCAUUUUUUUGUUUAAAGCUUACGAUUUCGCUUCUUACCAU